CCUGCUCAGGGACCCAAACCCAGCCCCAGCCUGCCGAGGAGGGGCUGGCUUCACCCGGGCCACCCACACACUGGCACGUCUGUGCACAUGGAGGCCAGUUCCCUUUCUGCAUUAGCUGCGGCGUGGAUUCCUAGUCACAUCUGCACAGGCAGAGGGAAAGCCUGUAAUUUCCAUAGAAUCCAGUUCUUUGAGUCAGAGCUGAGGGUAAGUGUUUGUUUUAUUUUUCUUUUCAAGGUGAUUACACGUCAUUUGGUUGUGGGCAAAGCCUGGGCUAUCACGGAGGGAAGAGGCCGGAUGAUUUAUCUGCAAAGUAUGCAUCGAAGGCCCGAGAAUCCCUGUGGAGGAGCGAAGGACAUGGUCCUGCCUGGAUGAGAUGCCCUGGAACUACCGCUGCCACCUUGCUGCCUGCCUAAGCGGGAAGCCAACGCUGCAGGACCGAGCAGAGAGGGUCAGCCAUGGUGGACAAGUUUCAGCAGAGCUUCCAGACUGAGACAGACUAGGAAGAAGGAACUGACCACCCGCUUCCAAAAACCUGGCCCUGAGAAGCCUAUGACUAGCAGCGGAGUGUUGUCUGAUAGAGAGCCAGAAGGUGAGAGGAUGGAGCAGAAAGGCUGAGCAGGGUUCCACUCUGCUGUCCAGAAGUCUGGAAUCCACUUCAGGGCACUAACCACAAAGAC
This 677-nucleotide long non-coding RNA is filed under the name Equus caballus (horse). RNAcentral describes it as "lncRNA (ENSECAG00000049680.1)". The record is from RNAcentral. Lineage: Eukaryota; Metazoa; Chordata; Mammalia; Perissodactyla; Equidae.